GGGCGCGUGGUUCAACCUGGAUAGAGCGACUGCUUCCGAAGCAGUAGGUUCCGGGUUCAAAUCCCGGCGUGCCCG
This 75-nucleotide transfer RNA is filed under the name Candidatus Micrarchaeota archaeon CG1_02_55_22. RNAcentral's name for it is "tRNA-Arg". It matches the Rfam family "tRNA". Rfam says of the family: Transfer RNA (tRNA) molecules are approximately 80 nucleotides in length. Lineage: Archaea; Nanobdellati; Microcaldota. The record is from RNAcentral.